RNAcentral lists this ribosomal RNA (255 nucleotides) under uncultured bacterium. Its description in RNAcentral is "partial 16S ribosomal RNA". It matches the Rfam family "Bacterial small subunit ribosomal RNA", at positions 524 to 776 of the family's 1533-position model. The record is from RNAcentral.
UACGGAGGGGGCUAGCGUUGUUCGGAAUUACUGGGCGUAAAGCGCACGUAGGCGGCUUUGUAAGUUAGAGGUGAAAGCCCAGGGCUUAACCCUGGAAUUGCCUUUAAGACUGCAUCGCUAGAAUCGUGGAGAGGUGAGUGGAAUCCCGGGUGUAGCGGUGGAAUGCGUAGAGAUCCGGAAGAACACCGGUGGCGAAGGCGGCCUGCUGGGCAGUUUAGCUGACACUGAGGCGCGACAGCGUGGGGAGCAAACAGG